This 559-nucleotide ribosomal RNA is filed under the name uncultured bacterium. RNAcentral's name for it is "bacterial SSU rRNA". It matches the Rfam family "Bacterial small subunit ribosomal RNA", at positions 55 to 611 of the family's 1533-position model. The record is from RNAcentral.
AUGCAAGUCGAACGGUAACAUUUCUAGCUUGCUAGAAGAUGACGAGUGGCGGACGGGUGAGUAAUGCUUGGGAACUUGCCUUUGCGAGGGGGAUAACAGUUGGAAACGACUGCUAAUACCGCAUAAUGUCUUCGGACCAAACGGGGCUUAGGCUCCGGCGCAAAGAGAGGCCCAAGUGAGAUUAGCUAGUUGGUAAGGUAACGGCUUACCAAGGCGACGAUCUCUAGCUGUUCUGAGAGGAAGAUCAGCCACACGGGGACUGAGACACGGCCCAGACUCCUACGGGAGGCAGCAGUGGGGAAUAUUGCACAAUGGGGGAAACCCUGAUGCAGCCAUGCCGCGUGUGUGAAGAAGGCCUUCGGGUUGUAAAGCACUUUCAGUUGUGAGGAAAAGUUAGUAGUUAAUACCUGCUAGCCGUGACGUUAACAACAGAAGAAGCACCGGCUAACUCCGUGCCAGCAGCCGCGGUAAUACGGAGGGUGCGAGCGUUAAUCGGAAUUACUGGGCGUAAAGCGCACGCAGGCGGUUUGUUAAGCUAGAUGUGAAAGCCCCGGGCUCA